GUGAACGCUGGCGGUAGGCCUAACACAUGCAAGUCGAACGGCAGCACCGUAAGAGCUUGCUCUUACGGGUGGCGAGUGGCGGACGGGUGAGGAAUACAUCGGAACCUACUUUUUCGUGGGGGAUAACGUAGGGAAACUUACGCUCAUACCGCAUACGACCUACGGGUGAUAGCAGGUGAUCUUCGGACCUUGCGCGAUUGAAUGAGCCGAUGUCGGAUUAGCUAGUUGGCGGGGUAAAGGCCCACCAAGGCGACGAUCCGUAGCUGGUCUGAGAGGAUGAUCAGCCACACUGGAACUGAGACACGGUCCAGACUCCUACGGGAGGCAGCAGUGGGGAAUAUUGGACAAUGGGCGCAAGCCUGAUCCAGCCAUACCGCGUGGGUGAAGAAGGCCUUCGGGUUGUAAAGACCUUUUGUUGGGAAAGAAAAGCAGCAGGUUAAUACCCCGCUGUUCUGACGGUACCCAAAGAAUAAGCACCGGCUAACUUCGUG
RNAcentral lists this ribosomal RNA (491 nucleotides) under uncultured bacterium. Its description in RNAcentral is "partial 16S ribosomal RNA". It matches the Rfam family "Bacterial small subunit ribosomal RNA", at positions 29 to 507 of the family's 1533-position model. The record is from RNAcentral.